GUAGGGAAUCUUCCACAAUGGACGAAAGUCUGAUGGAGCAACGCCGCGUGAGUGAAGAAGGUCUUCGGAUCGUAAAACUCUGUUGUUAGAGAAGAACGUGCAUGAUAGUAACUGAUCAUGUAAUGACGGUAUCUAACCAGAAAGCCACGGCUAACUACGUGCCAGCAGCCGCGGUAAUACGUAGGUGGCAAGCGUUGUCCGGAGUUAUUGGGCGUAAAGGGAACGCAGGCGGGUGUUUAAGUCUGAGGUGAAAGCCCUCGGCUUAACCGAAGAAUAGCAUUUGAAACUGGAAGACUUGAGUGCAGAAGAGGAGAGUGGAAUUCCAUGUGUAGCGGUGAAAUGCGUAGAUAUAUGGAGGAACACCAGUGGCGAAAGCGGCUCUCUGGUCUGUAACUGACGCUGAGGUUCGAAAGCGUGGGUAGCAAACAGGAUUAGAAACCCGUGUAGUCC
RNAcentral lists this ribosomal RNA (450 nucleotides) under uncultured bacterium. RNAcentral's name for it is "partial 16S ribosomal RNA". It matches the Rfam family "Bacterial small subunit ribosomal RNA", at positions 354 to 796 of the family's 1533-position model. The record is from RNAcentral.